Molecule: long non-coding RNA, 255 nt
Organism: Amphimedon queenslandica
Lineage: Eukaryota; Metazoa; Porifera; Demospongiae; Haplosclerida; Niphatidae
Exons: 2
Source: RefSeq, a predicted model, not a curated record
ACAGAAAAACUCUUCCUUGGUCCUCUGGUCAAUGACUAAAGCUAGUGAGCUUACCUAUUGAUGAGCAAUGAGUUAAGAAAUGUGCUAUAGGGGUACAUACUUUUAUGGAAGAUGAAGAACUACUACCUCAUCUGCAAAUGAUGUCGCUAACAGCCAUGGCCUUUGUAGCAUUCUUAUUACUAUCAUUAUAUUAUUAUACAAUUUUAGUCAAUUUUGCAUUAUUAAACAUACUGUUUUGAUCUGAUAGCAAAAUGC